This 810-nucleotide ribosomal RNA is filed under the name uncultured bacterium. RNAcentral's name for it is "bacterial SSU rRNA". It matches the Rfam family "Bacterial small subunit ribosomal RNA", at positions 8 to 796 of the family's 1533-position model. The record is from RNAcentral.
AGAGUUUGAUCAUGGCUCAGGACUAACGCUGGCGGCAUGCAUCAUACAUGCAAGUCGGACGGAGAGGAUUGGGCAACUGAUCUUCUUAGUGGCGCACGGGUGAGUAACACGUAGGUAACCUGCCCCCUGGACCGGGAUAACGGCUCGAAAGGGUCGCUAAGACUGGAUAAGCCCACGACUCGAGAGGGUUGAGGGAAAAACAUGGCCUCUGUUUACAUGCUAUGGCGAGGGGAUGGGCCUGCGGACUAUCAGCUAGUUGGCGGGGUAACGGCCCACCAAGGCGAUGACGGUUAGCCGGCUUGAGAGAGUGUACGGCCACACUGGAACUGAGACACGGUCCAGACUCCUACGGGAGGCAGCAGUAGGGAAUUUUCCGCAAUGGGCGCAAGCCUGACGGAGCAAUGCCGCGUGAGGGAAGAAGGCCUUCGGGUCGUAAACCUCUUUCGUUUGGGAAGAAUGCGUAGAACAAGAAACGGUUCUGCGUUGACGGUACCGGAGGAAGAAGCCCCGGCUAAUUACGUGCCAGCAGCCGCGGUAAUACGUAAGGGGCAAGCGUUGUCCGGAAUCACUGGGCGUAAAGGGCGCGUAGGCGGUCUGUUAAGUCGGGAGUGAAAGCGCUGGGCCUAACCCAGCAAUGGCUCUCGAGACUGGCAGGCUAGAGGGUCCUAGGGGAUUGUGGAAUUCCAGGUGUAGCGGUGAAAUGCGUAGAUAUCUGGGAGAACACCCGUGGCGAAGGCGGCAAUCUGGGGGACACCUGCGCUGAGGCGCGAAAGCUAGGGGAGCGAACGGGAUUAGAUACCCUAGUAGUCC